AUGCAGGCCGUUCAGCGAGGUUUGGCCUGUAGUGGCUCUGUCCUUUCCUGUAGUGUCUGCUAGAUAGAAGUGGGGUGGUUUGAGACCCUGCCGUGUCUCCACCACGGAAAGGUUACAGUUAAGCCUCACACGUCA
Molecule: small nucleolar RNA, 135 nt
Organism: Hucho hucho (huchen)
Lineage: Eukaryota; Metazoa; Chordata; Actinopteri; Salmoniformes; Salmonidae
Source: Ensembl